RNAcentral lists this unclassified non-coding RNA (433 nucleotides) under soil metagenome. RNAcentral describes it as "partial contains 5.8S ribosomal RNA, internal transcribed spacer 2, and large subunit ribosomal RNA". The stretch from base 1 to 120 matches the Rfam family "5.8S ribosomal RNA", at positions 35 to 154 of the family's 154-position model. The record is from RNAcentral.
GAUGAAGAACGUAGCGAAAUGCGAUACGUAAUGUGAAUUGCAGAAUUCAGUGAAUCAUCGAAUCUUUGAACGCAUAUUGCGCUCUCUGGUAUUCCGGAGAGCAUGCUUGUUUGAGUAUCAGUAAACACCUCAACUUCCAUAUCUUUUUUGUAAUGGGAGUUGGACUUGAGUGAUCCCAACGCUUUUCCUCACCGAAAAGUGGCGGGUUACUUGAAAUGCAGGUGCAGCUGGACUUUUCUCUGAGCUAUAAGCAUAUCUAUUUAGUCUGCCUAAAAAACAGAUUAUUACCUUUGCUGCAGCUAACAUAAAGGAGAUUAGUUCUUGUGCUGACUGAUGCAGGAUUCACAAAGACAGGCUUCGGCCGACUUUGUAAACUCGAUCUCAAAUCAAGUAAGACUACCCGCUGAACUUAAGCAUAUCAAUAAGCGGAGGA